AGAGUUUGAUCAUGGCUCAGAAUCAACGCUGGCGGCGUGCCUAACACAUGCAAGUCGAACGAGAAAGUGGAGCAAUCCAUGAGUACAGUGGCGACCGGGUGAGUAACACGUGACUAACCUACCUUUGAGUGGGGGAUAACAUCGGGAAACCGAUGCUAAUACCGCAUAACAUCGCAAGAUCAAAGCAGCAAUGCGCUUAAAGAGGGGGUCGCGGCUGAUUAGCUAGUUGGCGGGGUAACGGCCCACCAAGGCGAAGAUCGGUAUCCGGCCUGAGAGGGCGCACGGACACACUGGAACUGAAACACGGUCCAGACUCCUACGGGAGGCAGCAGUGGGGAAUUUUGCGCAAUGGGGGAAACCCUGACGCAGCAACGCCGCGUGGAGGACGAAGUCCCUUGGGACGUAAACUCCUUUCGACCAAGACGAUAAUGACGGUACCCGAAGAAGAAGCUGCGGCUAACUACGUGCCAGCAGCCGCGGUAAUACGUAGGCAGCGAGCGUUGUUCGGAAUUACUGGGCGUAAAGAGUGCGUAGGCGGUGCUCUAAGUCUGUUGUGAAAUCUCCCGGCUUAACUGGGAGGGUGCGGCGGAAACUAGAGUGCUAGAGUGUGGGAGAGGUAAGCGGAAUUCCUGGUGUAGCGGUGAAAUGCGUAGAUAUCAGGUGGAACACCUGUGGUGUAGACAGCUUACUGGACCACGACUGACGCUGAGGCACGAAAGCGUGGGUAGCAAACAGGAUUAGAUACCCUGGUAGUCCUAGCCCUAAACCAUCAGAACUUGGGGUGGCCCGCGUAG
RNAcentral lists this ribosomal RNA (794 nucleotides) under uncultured bacterium. Its description in RNAcentral is "bacterial SSU rRNA". It matches the Rfam family "Bacterial small subunit ribosomal RNA", at positions 8 to 834 of the family's 1533-position model. The record is from RNAcentral.